RNAcentral lists this ribosomal RNA (254 nucleotides) under uncultured bacterium. Its description in RNAcentral is "partial 16S ribosomal RNA". It matches the Rfam family "Bacterial small subunit ribosomal RNA", at positions 524 to 776 of the family's 1533-position model. The record is from RNAcentral.
UACGGAGGAUCCAAGCGUUAUCCGGAAUCAUUGGGUUUAAAGGGUCCGUAGGCGGUUUGGUAAGUCAGUGGUGAAAGCCCAUCGCUCAACGGUGGAACGGCCAUUGAUACUGCCAGACUUGAAUUAUUAGGAAGUAACUAGAAUAUGUAGUGUAGCGGUGAAAUGCUUAGAGAUUACAUGGAAUACCAAUUGCGAAGGCAGGUUACUACUAAUGGAUUGACGCUGAUGGACGAAAGCGUUGGGUAGCGAACAGG